GUAGGGGGCAAGCGUUGUCCGGAAUCAUUGGGCGUAAAGCGCGUGUAGGCGGCCAGAUAAGUCCGCUGUGAAAACUCGAGGCUCAACUUCGAGCUGUCGGUGGAAACUAUCUGGCUAGAGUCCGGAAGAGGAGAGUGGAAUUCCUGGUGUAGCGGUGAAAUGCGCAGAUAUCAGGAAGAACACCCGUGGCGAAGGCGGCUCUCUGGGACGGUACUGACGCUGAGACGCGAAAGCGUGGGGAGCGAACAGGAUUAGAUACCCUGGUAGUCCACGCCGUAAACGAUGGGUGCUAGGUGUGGGGGGUGUCGACUCCCUCCGUGCCGAAGCUAACGCAUUAAGCACCCCGCCUGGGGAGUACGGCCGCAAGGCUAAA
This 373-nucleotide ribosomal RNA is filed under the name uncultured bacterium. RNAcentral's name for it is "bacterial SSU rRNA". It matches the Rfam family "Bacterial small subunit ribosomal RNA", at positions 527 to 898 of the family's 1533-position model. The record is from RNAcentral.